GCCAGCAUAGCUCAGUUGGUAGAGCACCGCUCUCGUAAAGCGGAGGCCAUCGGUUCAAACCCGAUUGCUGGCUCCA
RNAcentral lists this transfer RNA (76 nucleotides) under Atopobiaceae bacterium. RNAcentral's name for it is "tRNA-Thr". It matches the Rfam family "tRNA". From Rfam's summary of the family: Transfer RNA (tRNA) molecules are approximately 80 nucleotides in length. Lineage: Bacteria; Bacillati; Actinomycetota; Coriobacteriia; Coriobacteriales; Atopobiaceae. The record is from RNAcentral.